UCUUGCAGAUUCUCAGCCCACAGAACACACGAGAAUAGGAAAGUCACUCUGAGCUACUGCUGGAUCGAGGUUUUUUGCAAUUUGCUAAAAACAAGUGGAUCAGCAGUUCAGAUGAGAACUCCUUAAAUCACUCACUCUUCCAGUCCUUAUCUUUCUUUAUUUAAGUGGAUUUUCCCUUUUCAGUUGAAUAAGGGGAGGAAACUGCCUGGGAUAGAGCAAAAAGACUCUCCUGAGCUAAGGAUGUUUGCAUCCAGGGCAGCAAUGCCACUUCCUACUACGUGAUAAAGACCAUGAGGACUUUGCAGGACUGCCACCUGCGCCAUUGCCAAAAUGACGCCAUCUGCCAGAACAUUCAGGUUUCCAGCCUGUGAUGCUCCAGCAGUGAGAGAGGUGUUUCCAGACAUGGUUUCUUUGGUAAGGAGUGCUGAUGAACUCAUACCUGUUUAGCAGCUGUCACUCUAUCAACAACCCACUGUCAAAAAAUGGAGGAGAAAUGUGCUUGACAACGUGAGAGACAAAUUAUGAUCUGUGUCCUCCUUGCGCUACAUUCACGUAAAAUCCAAGGCUCACAUGUGCCAUUUACUUGAGUGUCUAAAGGAAUGUGUAGUUGUGAUCAGUUUCUCUAGAUCAGACACCACAUAGCUGUUAAAUAAUAUUAAGAAUGAUUUCACCAGGAGAUGCUUGUACUGGAUUUCACCCAAAACCUUUUUAUAUUGCAUAUACUACUGUUUUGCUGCAAAUAUGGUCUCAAAGCAAAGUAAGAACUUUGAAGAAUAUAUGCAUGACAUCAUCUAGAGGAAGAGACUGCAUGUUUACAGAGGUGUGGAAACACUUGACAAAAUAGAUUAUCUUUUUCAGUCUGUAUUCCAAAAAAAAAGGUUUUCUUGGACGAUGAACUCAGGAGUUUCCUGAGUUUUGUUCAUGGAGGGCAACCUCAUGGGUGGGACAUCAGGCUAGGUGCUGCAUGACCAAAAAAAAAAAAAAAAGAAGAAAAAGAAUCAGCAGGACAGUGCAGAAAAGCCACAAUUUGAAAAUUUUCCUGAGAGUCACAUACUUAGUAUCUUUCAGGUUAGUCUCUGGGAAUCCCUGACUCAGAUGUUGAAUUCUUGUGAGGAAUAUGAUUGAUCCUUGCAUGAAGUCUUCCUCCUCAAAGACAUAUUUCCAAAGGUUUUCUUUCUUUGUGAUGACUACUGGGCUCUGUGUUACACAAACAGAAGAAUGACAAGGCAAGAGCAGACAUGCUAACAUUUCAAUUUAUAUGGUAGCUGUAAAUGCUUGUAUAAGCUCAAAACAAGUGGUAGUCUUACUGAGGAGGCCUCCAGCUCUAGAAGCAGCUCAUAUAUUUAGGUGGUGGUGGAGGGGUAGGGGCUCUUACUGCUUAAAUCUUCAGUAGAUUUUUAAAGUUUAUUUUCAUAGUCUAAAGGCUUGGGAAAGUAAUGAUAAUACCACUGUCACUGUGGUCUUGUUAUUUGCAUGAUUUGGAUCCUCAGUACCACAAACAUACAAAAAUAGGAAAUAUUUCUGCCUUGCAUCCCCUCUGCAAUUGAGAGAUUGCCUACAGAGGGAAGAGGAACAGCUGUGGAGAUGACUGCUAUAAAGAAUAUCAGCCUCCAUUUACACCCCUUCAAGUGCAAGUGACAGCUGUAAACUGUAUCUAAGAUUUGAGCACACAACUGUGUCAGUUAAUAGUUCACUCAUGGAAAAAAAGAAGAUUUUUGGUUUGCUGGUGCUGUCCUGCACUUAAACUUUCUGUGCGUAUUUUCAAAGGCCUCUCAUUCCCAGCUGCACACAGAUUUACAAAAUAAGAUCUGUUAGCAACUUGUUCUCCAGUUUGCAGGGAUGGCUGAAGCUUACUUAACUUCUGGUAAAUUAAUGGAGAACAUCUACCUUACUCCUUUGGUACAAGCAGGUGUAAUGGAGAAUUCCCUUCUGCCAAAAUAAACUAUCCGAGGAACAAACUAGGAGUCUUUCUCAGCAAACUUUCUGACUUUUAAUUUAGAUGUUAUAAGGGGAAAAGCCACCAGUGAAAUGGAGAAGCUAACAGAUAAAAAUCUCUGGAAUGUCCUCUCUGCUCAGAGCUCAGGAAAACUCAAUUAUGCAGAGAGACCUGGCAUGAGCCCCAUGCUCCCCCAAGACGCAAGGGACUCCUUGAGGGUGUGAGAGCUGCAGUCCCAACCAAAAAUUUCCUUUUGUCUCUAUUAAUCCAGCAGACCUGACAAUGAACUUCUCAACCUCUGGGCAGGGAAAGCACGUGUUGGGUCACGCACUGCUGCCACCCUGGAUCACGGGGUGCUGCCUGUGGCUGGAGGACUGUGUGACACAAGAAAAGUGUUCUGGCAUAGCUGAAGCACCCUUGUUAAAAGGCCUCCUGUCAGCAGCAGGCAUGACUGACUGGUAGAGAUCAGGCUUAACUAAGUAAACUCCAUUUUUCACCUCAUCCCACAAGGCAGGUGUGGCUGGUUGAGAAAUCAAGGCUCACGCUUCCCCAAGGCCCUGCCCUGCCUCUUUACAGGGAGGAGGAAACGCAGCUGCCUCUGUUGCAAACUGGGCAUGGUCCAGGUUAAGCUGUGGGGUAACGUGAGGUCAGCCUGGUGUGAUGAUGGUCUGAUGUUCACAGCAUGCACUGUGCCAGGAAUGGUUAGUGAGUCACACAGCUCUCAGAAAGGUGUCUGGUCCACGUGAAAUAGAGAGACUCAAGAAACAUCACUUGCUUUAGCUGAAGUAAGGACAGUAAGGACAUAUGGCAAAGUCACACAGCUGCUGUGGAAACAAAGGGUAUGCCAGGCAGUAGGUUUUCUAGGAGACAGCCAGCCAAGGAGGCUGCAUCUGACCUGUGGUCUGUUUAAGAAAUACAGCCUCGCUGUCUUUGGUGUUUUGUCUCAUUCUGAUCAUGGGUUAAGCGAGGCACUCAGUCCAUUGUUCUUGCGACAUGAUAAGUAACUAGCUACAUGUAAACAAAGCAAUUAAGCUCCAUAAGGAACUGUUUGCCCUUCAAAGCUGAACUAAACAUUGAUUUUGUUUUGGGAAUCCAAAUAUGGUAAAUUACUGACAGUUAACUAUGACCAUGGGAUUGUUUCCUGCACAGAACGGGCUCCUGGAACAUGCAGCAGAAAAUCACCGUUCCUUCUCUUCACCCUGACAUUAACCAUGUAAAGAUCCUGCUGGGCUCACUGUAGCUGUCUUUUGCUGAGUAUCACUUUAGCAUAACUAAUUUGUGAUAAUUUAUGAUAAUUUUUAUCACAAUUUAUGAUAAGAAUAGAGAGAGAAGCUUCUUAGGCUGGCACAGCUUGCUCUAAACCCCUGCUCUUCAGCUGUAAAACCACCGGGCUCCAUCAGCACUCCUCCAGGAGAACAACUCUCAGUUG
RNA transcript from Pyrgilauda ruficollis (rufous-necked snowfinch), 3365 nucleotides. It is a transcript of the gene named filamin A-interacting protein 1-like, with no coding region annotated. The transcript is spliced from 3 exons. NCBI's taxonomy places the organism in Eukaryota, Metazoa, Chordata, Aves, Passeriformes, Passeridae. The record is from RefSeq and is a predicted model, not a curated record.